UGAGGUAGUAGUUUGUGUUGUUGGAAGGGUCUGUGACACUGCCCAGUAUGGAGAUAACUGCGCAAGCUACUGCCUUGC
Molecule: microRNA precursor, 78 nt
Filed under: Callorhinchus milii (elephant shark)
Lineage: Eukaryota; Metazoa; Chordata; Chondrichthyes; Chimaeriformes; Callorhinchidae
Also listed under: 1 other name
Description: Cmi-Let-7-P2c2_pre stem-loop
Rfam family: let-7 microRNA precursor family
About the family: This family represents the microRNAs (miRNA) let-7 and mir-98. let-7 was identified from a study of developmental timing in C. elegans, and was later shown to be part of a much larger class of non-coding RNAs termed miRNAs. The extents of the hairpin precursors are not generally known and are estimated based on hairpin prediction.
Source: RNAcentral